Molecule: long non-coding RNA, 854 nt
Filed under: Arabidopsis lyrata
Lineage: Eukaryota; Viridiplantae; Streptophyta; Magnoliopsida; Brassicales; Brassicaceae
Description: long non-coding RNA (ALYR_LNC001093)
Source: RNAcentral
UAGGUGUUCUGCUAAAAAGACUCUGGCUUGUAUUAGUCAUGGCGCUUAAUCCAGAUGGAGUUAACAAUGGGUUAGGUCUGGUGUAAGGAGAGCAAGGUACCAGAAUUUUUCCACGAAGUGAACCUGUUUUAAAACUCAUCAAGAUUUAGAGAUAAAGGUAUUUUCUAUUUAUCUUUGAUGAGAAUGAAAACAAAAUAAUUGUAAAUGAAAACUUGUCUAUAGAAACUAACCUUGAUUCUUACUGUUCUGUUUUGCAGAUGAAGAUGUAUUAGCAUCAACAGAGUUCUCAAUGGGGCUAACUUGUGGGUCUGGAAGGUUAGUAAUAUCUCUAAAAGCACUACCAAACGCUGUACUAAGAGGGACAGAACCAUUCCUGAGUAUAGGUAGAUUAAACUGAGAAAUGUUCCUUAGUCUAGUGUAAGGCUCAUUUCCUCGAUUACGUUUUGGUGGAUUAGACUCAGGAACAUCAUUUUCUGUUGGAGAUAGAGGUUUUUUUUUCAUAUUUUAGUCUAAGAAUGUCUAUAGAUGAUUAGACUACUUGGUAACUAUAUAAAGGAGAUUAAGGUCUAAAUAGAAAGCAUUUUGAUAUCUGUAGAUUGACUAUUAUUGUUUAAUGAUUGUCUGUUGCCAAAGAUAUAGGAACUAAGAUAUGUUAUUUUCUAUAAGUAAUGAAUGAGAACCUUUAGAUAAUAUGCGGAAUAUACCAAACUAUAAGAUUGAUUCCGUGAUUAUAGUGAUUAUUGUUUUAAUUAUAAGAUUACUAACUAUAUUUUUUGUAUCAGGAAAGAGAGCAAUGAAAUAUUCUUGCUAUUCACAAUCAAUAGCACAUAAGGAAGAUGGACUAUUCAAAUAAG